This 2490-nucleotide unclassified non-coding RNA is filed under the name Leishmania donovani. RNAcentral's name for it is "gene:LdHU3.02.0870(CDS-product:Peptidase_family_M 3_putative)". The record is from RNAcentral. Lineage: Eukaryota; Euglenozoa; Kinetoplastea; Trypanosomatida; Trypanosomatidae.
UUGAUCCACAACGCGUAUCGCUCUCUCCUCUUCCUCUCUCCGCCGUCCCCUGUUCUUCUCCACUCCUGUGAGUGUGUUCAGCUGCCACAACUUCCCUGGUGGUCCUCUACGCCAGCCAAGCGCCGAUCCUUCCUUCUGACUUUCACCCUGUAAGCGCCGCCCAUCUUCUCCAGCGCGCCAACAUGUCCGCCAACCCGCUGCUUCAGCAGAGCACUCUGCAGUACCAAUACCCGCCCUUUGACCGGAUCGCUGUGGAGCACUACGCACCCGCUUUCGAGCAGGGCAUGGCGGAGCAGAUGGCGGAGAUCGAGGUGAUCAAGUCCAACCCUGACGCGCCCACCCUCGAAAACACAGUUGUGGCACUGGAGCGGAGUGGGGCGCAGCUUAAGCGCGCACGCCUGGUCUUCCAAAACCUCUGCUCUGCACACACGAACCCGGAGAUGCAGAGUCUCGAGCAGGCCUACGCCCCGAAGUUUGCCGUCCACACGGACAAGAUCUACCUCGAUGGCGCCUUGUACCACCGCAUCAAGGCUGUGUACGACGCGCGUGCCAGCCUCGCUGGUGAAGACUUGCGGCUGGUGGAACACACUACGAGAGGGAGUUUCGCAAGGCCGGCGCCGCCCUUCACGACUCAGACAAGGAGAAGCUAAAGCAGGUAAAUGAGCGCCUCGCACCCUCGAGAGCGAUUUUGCCAAGAAGGUGAUGGAACGCGCAAGACCGCCUCGCUCGUCGUGGAUGACGUUGCCGAGCUGGAGGGCCUCAGCGAGGACGAGAUCGCGACGGCUCAGAAGGAAGCGGAGAGCCUCGGCCACCCCGGAAAGUACGCGUUGAUUAUCGUGAACACGACUCAGCAGCCACUGCUAGCGUCUCUGAGGAGCCGCGAGACGCGCCGCCGCCUGUUCGAGGCGAGCGUGCAGCGCGCCGGACGCGGCGACGAGAAUGACACGAGCGCCAUCAUCGUGGAGAUUGCGCAGCUUCGGCUGAGGAAGGCAAGGCUGCUCGGCAAGAAGAGCUUUUCUGAGUGGCAGCUACAGAACCAGAUGGCCGACCCGGCAUCCGCGGAGGCCUUGCUGCGCGAUAUGGGCGAUGCGGCGGCGUCGAAGGUGAAGAGGGAGGCGGCUGACAUCAAGCAGAUGAUUCGCGAGGAGGGUGGGGACUUCGAGCUGGCGCCCUGGGACUGGAAGUACUACGCGGAGCGAGUACGCAAGCAGCGGUACGACCUCGACGAGAACGAAACGAAGCCGUACUUUGAGCUGAACAACGUGCUUGAGCGUGGCGUGUUCUACACGGCGGAGAAGCUGUACGGUGUGACGAUGCAGCGGCGCACGGAUCUGCCGGUGUACCACCCCGACGUGAUGUCGUUUGAGAUGUUUGACUGCACGGGCGAGUCACUCGCCAUUUUCUGCCUUGACCCCUACGCGCGCGCGCAAGCAAGCGCGGUGGCGCGUGGAUGACCUUCUAUGUUCGCCAGAGCUCCCUCCUUGGCCAGAAGCCCGUCGUGUACAAUGUGCUGAACGUUGUGAAGCCGGCUGAAGGCAGGCCAACCUUGCUGAGCCGCAGCGACGUGACGACGCUCUUCCAUGAGUUCGGCCACGGACUGCACGGCAUGCUAAGCAACCUCAAGUACUCGACUCUUUCCGGCACAAGCGUCGCCCGUGACUUCCUCGAGUUUCCAUCGCAGAUCAACGAGCACUGGGCAAUGUACGACGCCGUGUUGAAGAACUACCAUUCACUACGAAACCAAGGAGCCGAUCCCGCAGGCGCUGGUGGAUCGCAUGAAGGCGGCCGAGACAUACGGCGCCGGCUUCCACACCAUCGAGGUGGUCAAGGCGGCGUACCUCGAUCUCUGCUGGCACCUGGUUGCGGAGGAAACGGCUGUGCUACCACCAGCACAGAUGGAGGAGGCGGCGAUGAAGUCCUUUGGUGUUGGGAUGACCGAAGUGCCGCCGCGCUACCACAGCGGGUACUUCAUGCACACUUUCUCUGGCGGAUAUGCCUCGAACUACUACGUGUACCAGUGGGCGCGUGUGCUGGACUGCGACGGGUUCGAGUGGUUCCUGGAGAACGGCGGGCUGACGCGCGAGAACGGUGACCACCUGCGUGCGUGCGUGCUCUCUGUGGGCAACUCGGUGGACGCGAACGUUGCGUACGAGAAGUUCGCCGGCCGCAAGGCAAACAUGAAGGCGUUCCUGCGCAUCAACGGCCUGCUGGACAAAUAGUCUCGUUGGCGUUUGCGUGCGCGCAACUCCGCUCUUAUCUAUUAUUUGUUUUUCUCUUUUGGACGUUAUUCGUGCUCCGUGCGUGUUCGCUGCCCAGACGGCAGCGCGGAUGGGGCGGGGGCGGGAUGAGUGGCGAAGGCGCCCGCGUUUGCCGCUCUCGACUCGGUACUUUGAACUUUUCCACGCGACAGUCGACGCUGCAGUCGCGACCCUCACCACAGGCAGUUGCGCUGCCUUUCCGCCAUGGCAUCUCGCGCCGUACGCUUCCUUC